GCCCGGAUGGUGAAAUCGGUAGACACAAGGGACUUAAAAUCCCUCGGCCCUUGGCUGUGCGGGUUCGACUCCCGCUCCGGGCACCA
RNAcentral lists this transfer RNA (86 nucleotides) under Denitromonas halophila. Its description in RNAcentral is "Denitromonas halophilus tRNA-Leu". It matches the Rfam family "tRNA". From Rfam's summary of the family: Transfer RNA (tRNA) molecules are approximately 80 nucleotides in length. Their secondary structure includes four short double-helical elements and three loops (D, anti-codon, and T loops). Further hydrogen bonds mediate the characteristic L-shaped molecular structure. tRNAs have two regions of fundamental functional importance: the anti-codon, which is responsible for specific mRNA codon recognition, and the 3' end, to which the tRNAs corresponding amino acid is attached (by aminoacyl-tRNA synthetases). tRNAs cope with the degeneracy of the genetic code in two manners: having more than one tRNA (with a specific anti-codon) for a particular amino acid; and 'wobble' base-pairing, i.e. permitting non-standard base-pairing at the 3rd anti-codon position. The record is from RNAcentral. Lineage: Bacteria; Pseudomonadati; Pseudomonadota; Betaproteobacteria; Rhodocyclales; Zoogloeaceae.